CUUUUUUUUUUUUUUUUUUUUUUUUUGGUUUUUCGAGACAGGGUUUCUCUGUAUAGCCCUGGCUGUCCUGGAACUCACUCUGUAGACCAGGCUGGCCUCGAACUCAGAAAUCUGCCUGCCUCUGCCUCCUGAGAGCUGGGAUUAAAGGCGUGUGCCACCACUGCCCAGCGCUCACGUCACAUUUUUAUGCCAUUUUAUUCCAGCUUCAAAAUGAUCACCAAGGUCGGAAGCCAGCCAGAAAGAGGGAAGAUAUUUGAUGAGAUUUCCAAGAAAAUUAUUCAAAUUACGUGCCAGUGCACAGGACCACAAAAAUUUUGUGACAAGCAAGAACCAAACCCCGUGUAUCUCACCGAUUCGGAAGCGUCCACUAACCACACUCUGCAGAGGCACCCUCUAUGUUGAAAUUGAUGACUAAUUCCAUCAAAGCAUUGAUGAGGCCCAGUUCUAACAGUCUGUUGGUAUCUACUCCAUGAGUGACACAUCUGGAGAUUUUCCACUGCCUGAAAGCUGCCUCGCGCCUAACCAUGUUUUUCUAUGGGUCUCGUGUGAAGAAGAAUCUCCAUUGGGUGAACGAGUUGACAGCGUUGCAUGAGAACCUUGGCGUCUGAUAUUCACACCUGCUUGUGAAACAAACUACCGAGUGUUUCAAUUACCCUCUGACCUUAGAAAAAUGGAGGCUUCUAAUUUGAGCUGUUGCUAGUCUUAAGCAAACAGCUUCUGCAGUUUUACACAACACUCUUGCUAGCCAAAGGAAGAAAAGUGUUGAGGUUUUGUUUUUUUCCCCUGUGUGCAAAAGUUAGAAACAAUUUUCACUUUCAUUUCAGACUAUGAAAGCCAAGUCACAGCCAUAGCCACCCUCAUUGAGAUGUAGCUCUACCUGCAUUGGCAGGGUUACUCUUCAUGUGAGUCAGAGUAGAACCCAUCACUGGUUCUGGAUUCCAGUGGAAAGGUAUGAAUUAAAGUAAGCAGGGGCCAUAGCGAUGUGGCCAGCAAAGUUCUUGCUCAACAAGCAUGCUCACCAAGUUCAAAGCCAACACCUCUAUUUAAAAAACUGGGACCAAGCAUUCUGGAGCAUGACUUUAACCCCUAUACUCAGAAGAUGGAGGUAGAUGUUAUCUCUGUGAGUUUAAGGUCAACCUGCUCUACAUAUGGAGUUCCAGGACAACCCGGGACUACAUAGAGGGACCCUGCCUCAAACAAACAGAAAUAACGACAAACAAGACAUGCCAGCCCUGGGGCUGGAGAGAUGAGUCUUCAGUUUAGAGCACGGGCCUCUCUCACAUAGGACUUGGGUUCCAUUCUAGCAUCACUACGGCAGCUUACAACCACCUGUAACUCUAGUUCCAGGGACUCUGACGCUCUCUCCUGGCUCCUGCAGUAACCAGGAUCACAUGUAGUACACAUGUAUACAUGUAGGCAAAACAUUCAUAAAGUAAGCAAAUGAUUUGUAAAAUUCAAAGUGAGUUGUCAGAGUCCUGUGAACCUGUAGGGUCAGUGUUGGAGAGGCAGAGAUAGGUUAGACCCUGGGUCUUGGUAGGUAGCUGGUCUAGCCAACACAGGAAGCUCCUGACUUAUCGAGAGAGCCUGUCUCAAAGCAUAAGAGGGGUGGGUGCUGCCAAGAUGGCUGAUCAAGUAAAGGGGUUUGUCACCAAGCCUGAGGGCCUGAGCUGGAUCCCCAAGACACACAUGAUGGAAGAAGAGAAACAGACCCCCAAGUUAUCCUCUGACUACCCUAUAGCAUGAGUGCACCCACAUUUAUUCAUGUACAAGCAAAUAAAUAUAAUAAACAAUUUUAAUAAAGAAAAAGG
This 1808-nucleotide long non-coding RNA is filed under the name Mus spicilegus (steppe mouse). RNAcentral describes it as "lncRNA (ENSMSIG00000030385.1)". Lineage: Eukaryota; Metazoa; Chordata; Mammalia; Rodentia; Muridae. The record is from RNAcentral.